CGCGGUGCGCUGCGGUGCGGGGCGCGGUGCGGUGCGCGGAGCGUCCCCGGGGCCGCCGCGGUAAGAGGCGGCGGGAGCUGUCCGUGCGCCGCGGUGCUGAAGGGCCGUGACGGCGGGCGGGGCACGGUGCGGGACAGAUGGACGUAUGUGUGUAGGGAUGGACGGACACAGGCACACGGACGCAGAAGGAGGACACAGACAUACGCGGGCAGAUGGACAAGGUCACACGCACACACCAAAGAGACAGACGGACGCACGGGCACGCGAAAAGCAACAAGCGCAUUCACAGUGACCAGGGGACAGCAUGAGGGAGGUUCAGCAGAUGAGCGGGAAGGACAAGCAAGCCAGGGCUGGCACUGGAGAGAGCGGUGACUUCCAAAAGAGCUGUCGCUGUUUCAAAGGGACCAGCCAAAUGGGGAGAGAUGGUGCUGGGAUUUACAUCUCCUUGGAAUCAGAAGUUAAUCAUAACAGUGGCUACGGAGGAGGCCCUGUAAGCAUGGAAGCAACCCUGGCUGGAGUGCACAGGAGCCCACGUCCCUGGAGCCGUGCUUAGAAGGGCAUUGCCUGGGGCAGAAACCCCACAGGGAAAACAUCCCUUUCAGUUGGUGAGCCCAGCCCAAGGUGGAGCGCUGCCCUGCUGCAGCAGCAGGCUGGUUCUAGGUCUGCAGCCAGGGAUUGGCAAUAGGAUCAACACACACAUGUAGACACCCCGCCUUAGCCCCAUAUAUCUGUCCCAUAGGGCAUAGGAGGAAUGGGGAGUGUCGGUCAGUGGAGACAAAGGAAAGACAAGUGGAGAAAAGGAAAGAGACAGGAGCUAUGCAGACACUUGGGUGAGAGACCUGGCUUGUGCCUUGAUUUUCUAGGACUCAAAUCUGCUCACAGGUAGUUUUCCUGGCAGGACUGUUUUUCUGAAGCCCAUUUUAGGUCAGUGACAGUGAGGCUACAACACUUGGAUCGUCCGAGUAGCUUAGGUUUUGGUGGCAGAGCAGGCCGGGCAGACAGCCUUACCGCCGGCUGGGGGCUGCCGGCCGUCCUGGCCCUCAGCGCGACGUCUGGCCCGGGCUGCCUGGCUCACACUGCUAAUGCAGAAAUCCUCUCCUCCGUCUGUUUUUUUUUUCAGGUCUUUCACAUAGUCCUCACACACAAGUGCAUUUUACCACUUCCUUGACGUUUUUUGCUUUGCAUUACAAUAUCCUAAGUCAGGUUUCUGCUACUGGUAGUAACUGAUCAGAUAACUGAGAAGUUUCCAGCUCUGCUUAGUUAUGUGUAUGGCAUUGUUUUGAUGACUUUGCUCUAUUGCUUAUUACUGAUGAUAGAGGCUUCUGUGGUUCUCUUUUGUCUUGGAAAAGUGGAGCACAGCUUAUCCUGGCCUCCUCACUUGUGCUGUUUUAGCACUGCCAUACCUAUGUAGUCUAACAGUGGAAUUAGGAGUGUCACGGUCUCCUCCAGCAG
Long non-coding RNA from Harpia harpyja (harpy eagle), 1452 nucleotides. RefSeq lists it as uncharacterized. The transcript has 2 exons. Lineage: Eukaryota; Metazoa; Chordata; Aves; Accipitriformes; Accipitridae. The record is from RefSeq and is a predicted model, not a curated record.